GAGAGGAGGGGUGGCCAUGCGAAGGAGCUCAAUCGAUUUUGGAGAUCUGGGGAAGACGAGCGGUGCUGACGGGAGAAAAAGGCGUGGGUUUUUUUUUAGCCAAAGAAAAAGGCGUGGGUAGUGGAGCCAUCUGAGGAUGAGGGGGCCACGUUUCUGAUUUGUCUAUUUUUUUUAGCAUAUCUCUGAUUCGUGUGCGUUUGGAACCAAGGCCUAGUCAAUUGUGACGUACAUGCAAAAUUUAAAAUAAAAAAUCAUUGGUCAACUGUGACAUGAUGUCUCGAGUGCACGGAGAAUUGCAAGGACCACUGGUGUUGAUGAGUCAAACCGAUGAAAUACAUACAUGUUAUAAUAUGGCAAUAAGUUUAUGGAAAUUUGGUUUAAUCUAGAAAAAAAUCAUAUAACCAUAGAUCUCGUCCAAACUAGAAACUGACUCGAGGAGUGAUUGGGCGGUCUAGUUGAUCUCGUUGAUUGCGGGUGAACAAGAGUCGAGGUCUGGAUGAACUCGGGAGCAUCUUGUUUCGUCUAGCUAGUGCUCGUCGGUUGCAGCUUGACAGACUUUGGCUGGAAACAUCGCUAUGGUGAAUGGAGACUUGUGGCGAGCGGCCUUGGAGAGAGGGGAGCUAACAACGAAAGUGUUGGUGGUGAUAUCGACGGCUAGGAGGCGGUGAGGAGGAAGGUCACACAGUGAAGGUGAGUAGAUCGAGCAUGGAGGGUGGGAGCUUCAAAGAGGGAUAGAAACUCGGGGCUAAACCUAGGGAUUGAAGAAGAGUAAUCUCAUGGGUUCGAUACAUUCUUGUGGUGCCAGGCAGGAAACAAGGAGGAGGAUGGAGGAGUGUGUGUGGAGAUUGACGAGGUUGACCUAACCUUGUCCAUGGAAGUGACAAUGAUAGGUGCACUAUAGCGAGGGAAAGGAUUAGUGAAAGGUCAGGGUGUCUGUGGCAUGGUGAUGUUGGGUUUGUGCCGAAAGCGGCGCACCCAAUGUUACUCUUAUAGGUAACGUGGGUCAAAUGGAACCAUAAGAGUAGUAUACUAGUAGUAUUCAAUAUUCGCCGUAGUUGUAGCUAUAGUUGUAGUGAAAAUCUUAAAAUAGGUUUCAUAUAAGAGGAAAAAAAAUCUAUACAAAAGGCAAUUUAAGGUUUGAAAAGUAAAAAAAAAUAAUUAAGUAUCUAAAAAAAGCCUAAUAAACAAAAAUUAAAAUGCCCAGCUUGGACUUCGAGCCCAUGAGCACAGGCACAAGGCAACUAAAGGUGCGUUAACCACCAAGCUACUAAGGAAUGUUUGUUAAGUGCUAGCCUCA
RNAcentral lists this long non-coding RNA (1297 nucleotides) under Sorghum bicolor (sorghum). Its description in RNAcentral is "long non-coding RNA (SBIC_LNC010908)". The record is from RNAcentral. Lineage: Eukaryota; Viridiplantae; Streptophyta; Magnoliopsida; Poales; Poaceae.